UAUCAAGGGUGUACUGCUACUGUGAUA
Molecule: non-coding RNA, 27 nt
Filed under: Homo sapiens (human)
Lineage: Eukaryota; Metazoa; Chordata; Mammalia; Primates; Hominidae
Source: RNAcentral